CUAGAUAUAUAUAAACAUGACAGUCAAUUUUUUCGAGAGUUUGAUCCUGGCUCAGGAUGAACGCUGGCUGUGUGCCUAAUACAUGCAUGUCGAGCGAUGAUAGCAAUAUCAUAGCGGCGAAUGGGUGAGUAACACGUACUCAACGUACCUUUUAGAUUGGGAUAGCGGAUGGAAACAUCCGAUAAUACCGAAUACUUAUUAUUUUUGCAUGAAAGUAAUAUAAAAGGAAGCGUUUGCUUCGCUAAAAGAUCGGAGUGCGCAACAUUAGCUAGUUGGUGAGGUAACGGCCCACCAAGGCGAUGAUGUUUAGCGGGGUUGAGAGAUUGAUCCGCCACACUGGGACUGAGAUACGGCCCAGACUCCUACGGGAGGCAGCAGUAGGGAAUAUUCCACAAUGGACGAAAGUCUGAUGGAGCGACACAGCGUGCAGGAUGAAGGCCCUAUGGGUUGUAAACUGCUGUGGUUAGGGAAGAAAAAGUAGCAUAGGAAAUGAUGCUACCUUGACGGUACCUGAUUAGAAAGCAACGGCUAACUAUGUGCCAGCAGCCGCGGUAAUACAUAGGUUGCAAGCGUUAUCCGAAAUUAUUGGGCGUAAAGCGUCUGUAGGUUGUUUGUUAAGUCUGGCGUUAAAUUUUGGGGCUCAACCCCAAAACGCGUUGGAUACUGGCAGACUAGAGUUAUGUAGAGGUUAGCGGAAUUCCUUGUGAAGCGGUGAAAUGCGUAGAUAUAAGGAAGAACAUCAAUAUGGCGAAGGCAGCUAACUGGGCAUACACUGACACUGAGAGACGAAAGCGUGGGGAGCAAACAGGAUUAGAUACCCUGGUAGUCCACGCCCUAAACGAUGAUCAUUAGUUGAUGGGGAACUCAUCGACGCAGCUAACGCAUUAAAUGAUCCGCCUGAGUAGUACGUUCGCAAGAAUAAAACUUAAAGGAAUUGACGGGGAUCCGCACAAGCGGUGG
RNAcentral lists this ribosomal RNA (960 nucleotides) under Mycoplasmopsis bovis. RNAcentral describes it as "bacterial SSU rRNA". It matches the Rfam family "Bacterial small subunit ribosomal RNA", at positions 1 to 935 of the family's 1533-position model. Lineage: Bacteria; Bacillati; Mycoplasmatota; Mycoplasmoidales; Metamycoplasmataceae. The record is from RNAcentral.